This 26-nucleotide non-coding RNA is filed under the name Homo sapiens (human). The record is from RNAcentral. Lineage: Eukaryota; Metazoa; Chordata; Mammalia; Primates; Hominidae.
UGGUGGACAAUGGAGCAGAUGACUGG